AAAUAAAGUCACCAACAAAUAUAUAAAUGAAAAGACAUUUAUUUCAGGGUCAUCCAAAUGGCCAUUAUUUGACUAGAUACAGGUCUAUUAACGCUUAUUAACUGCAUUUUAUCCUGAUUAAUGCAAAGCACGCAGCAGUUGAUGUUUAACCCCUUAAGGACACAUGACAUGUGUGACAUGUCAUGAUUCCCUUUUAUUCCAGAAGUUUGGUCCUUAAGGGGUUAACAGAACCUCUCACAGAUCUAUCUCUGUUAGUACUGGACUAGUUAGCAGCAAUUAUUUUCUCUAAAUUGCUGCCAUUCUUAGAUGUAAUACAAUUGCUGAACAGAGAACAGACUAGCAUCUGCUAUGAAACAAACUAAGCACCACAACGACUUCAGUUUAUUAUAGUGGUCAUGUUCCCAGUAAGAAAACAAAAAACUUACCUUUGCUAUCCUUGACAUUUCUGUAGUCUCCACCCCUCACAGGUGUUAUCUGAACAAGUAUAGCAUCCCAUCAGUGCCGGACUGGCCCACCGGGAUACCGGGAAAUUUCCGGGUGGGCCGUCGGCACCUGCGGCCGCAGAGGGAGCUGGCUGUUCUGUCUCUGCUCCCCCUCCCCAGCG
Molecule: non-coding RNA, 604 nt
Organism: Pelobates cultripes (western spadefoot toad)
Lineage: Eukaryota; Metazoa; Chordata; Amphibia; Anura; Pelobatidae
Source: the annotation of a GenBank genome assembly